GAGUAUUGUAUUUGCUUUUAUAAUUGCGUUGAUUUUAAUUUUAUUUUUGCUUUUCAGGUACAUUUUGUAAUAGCUAGUUUGGAGGACCUUUGUUAUUGUGCUAUUGGAGCUGGAAUGCCGCGGUUUUGGAGUCAUCAAGUUGCAAUUAGAUAAGUAUUAUAUUUUAAAUAUAUAUUUCCCAGUAAUAGCUUGUGUUCCCUUGUAUCAUUAGUUGCAGUCUUGGAAGCUGGGGCUGCGUGCUUGACAUCAUCAGGUUGGAGCUGUCUAUUAGCAUCUGCUGCUUUGUCUGUCCGGUUAGUUAUUGUUAGCGGAGAGAUCGUUGAAGAUACGAUACUGAGGAGAAAUAUUCAUUUUAAGGACGAAAUUUGCAGCUUAUUAAUGUGGCGUCAGCUCCGCGCUGGUGAUCCUUGUUAAUGCAGUGGCAUCCGGAGGUGGAGACGGCGUUUUAGGGUUAUUAAUUUUUUGCGUUUGUAUUCGCGAAAAUUGACGAUUUCGUUUUAUUUUUGCGUUGCCCACCUCCUCUUGUCGGAUGCAUUAGAUGUGGAUCAGCAGUUGGCUGUGGUCAAGUAGGUUUUAGCGUCAGUUCUUGUAGGCGCUCGUCAGUCUGAGUUUUGAGAGAGAUUGGAGGCAGACAGAAGUGCGCUUUUCCAUCAGAUAAAGAUGAAGAUGUCGUUUUAAUAGAUAUAAGUAUUUGUAAGUUUAAUUGGAUGUAUCCAUGUCAAGAUUGUUGUCUCUUCCUUGAGUAAUUAAUGCCAAUAAAAUGUCGAUUUUCUUUUCUAAA
This is a long non-coding RNA of Drosophila sechellia, 781 nucleotides long. RefSeq lists it as uncharacterized. The record is from RefSeq and is a predicted model, not a curated record. Lineage: Eukaryota; Metazoa; Arthropoda; Insecta; Diptera; Drosophilidae. The transcript has 3 exons.